CCGGGAGUAGGGGGAACAUCUACCCAAUGGUUCUGAUGUAGGACUUGGAGACCGCCUAUGUUGUCUUGGAGAAGCACGGUGAGGAAGUCGUUGUCAGCAUGCUUACUGGUGCCUAGAGUAAGUUCAGGUUGUGGACAUGCUGGAUAAUAAUGGCCUAACGCCAUAAGACCCUCGGCACAACCCAUAUCCUUGAGGUGGUUUGGUUCGAGGCCAAUAGCUUCAGACAGUAUUCCAAAUAGAGUAUCACCUAAUUUCAUCACUUGGUUUGUGUACUCAAGGAGAACAUCCCU
Molecule: long non-coding RNA, 290 nt
Organism: Solanum verrucosum
Lineage: Eukaryota; Viridiplantae; Streptophyta; Magnoliopsida; Solanales; Solanaceae
Exons: 2
Source: RefSeq, a predicted model, not a curated record